UACAGAGGGUGCAACCGUUGCUCGGAAUUAUUGGGCGUAAAGCGCGUGUAGGCGGCUUGUUAAGUCGGUUGUGAAAACCCAUGGCUCAACCAUGGAAGUGCGUCCGAAACUGGCAAGCUAGAGUCUUGACGAGGAUGGCGGAAUUCCCAGUGUAGAGGUGAAAUUCGUAGAUAUUGGGAGGAACACCGGUGGCGAAGGCGGCCAUCUGGGAAGGUACUGACGCUGAGACGCGAAAGCGUGGGGAGCAAACAGG
This 253-nucleotide ribosomal RNA is filed under the name uncultured bacterium. RNAcentral's name for it is "partial 16S ribosomal RNA". It matches the Rfam family "Bacterial small subunit ribosomal RNA", at positions 524 to 776 of the family's 1533-position model. The record is from RNAcentral.